GAUGAACGCUGGCGGCGUGCCUAAUACAUGCAAGUCGAGCGAACAGAUAAGGAGCUUGCUCCUUUGACGUUAGCGGCGGACGGGUGAGUAACACGUGGGUAACCUACCUAUAUGACUGGGAUAACUUCGGGAAACCGGAGCUAAUACCGGAUAAUAUUUCGCACCGCAUGGUUCGAUAGUGAAAGAUGGUUUUGCUAUCACUUAUAGAUGGACCCGGGCCGUAUUAGCUAGUUGGUACGGUACCGGCUUACCAAGGCGACGAUACGUAGCCGAGCUGAGAGGGUGAUCGGCCACACAGGAAGUGAGAGGCGAUCCAGACACCUACGGGAGGCAGCAGUAGGUAAGCUUCGGCAAAGGGCGAAAGCCUGACGGAGCAACGCAGCGUGAGUGAAGAAGGUCUGCGGAUCGUAAAACGCUGUUAUUAGGGAAGAACAUACGUGUAAGUAACGGUGCGCGUCUGAACGGUACCUAAACAGAAAACCACGGCUAACUACGG
This 496-nucleotide ribosomal RNA is filed under the name uncultured bacterium. Its description in RNAcentral is "partial 16S ribosomal RNA". It matches the Rfam family "Bacterial small subunit ribosomal RNA", at positions 28 to 506 of the family's 1533-position model. The record is from RNAcentral.